UCGAGAAUUUUUCACAAUGGGGGAAACCCUGAUGGAGCGACGCCGCGUGGGGGAUGAAUGGCUUCGGCCCGUAAACCCCUGUCAUUUGCGAUCAAACCUUAUGGUUUAACACGUCAUAAGCUGAUAGUAGCGAAAGAGGAAGGGACGGCUAACUCUGUGCCAGCAGCCGCGGUAAUACAGAGGUCCCAAGCGUUGUUCGGAUUUACUGGGCGUAAAGGGUGCGUAGGCGGUCGGGUAAGUCUAACGUGAAAUCUUCAAGCUUAACUUGGAAACUGCGUCGGAUACUAUUCGGCUAGAGGAAUGGAGGGGAGACUGGAAUUCUCGGUGUAGCAGUGAAAUGCGUAGAUAUCGAGAGGAACACCAGUGGCGAAGGCGAGUCUCUGGACAUUUCCUGACGCUGAGGCACGAAAGCCAGGGGAGCAAACGGG
This 428-nucleotide ribosomal RNA is filed under the name uncultured bacterium. Its description in RNAcentral is "bacterial SSU rRNA". It matches the Rfam family "Bacterial small subunit ribosomal RNA", at positions 355 to 776 of the family's 1533-position model. The record is from RNAcentral.